UACGUAGGUGGCAAGCGUUGUUCGGAAUUACUGGGCGUAAAGGGCGCGUAGGCGGCCCUCUUUGUCGCGUGUGAAAGCCCCGGGCUCAACCUGGGAACGGCGCGCGAAACGGGGGGGCUGGAGUUCGGGAGAGGAGCGUGGAAUUCCCAGUGUAGAGGUGAAAUUCGUAGAUAUUGGGAAGAACACCGGUGGCGAAGGCGGCGCUCUGGACCGAGACUGACGCUGAGGCGCGAAAGCGUGGGGAGCAAACAGG
Molecule: ribosomal RNA, 253 nt
Filed under: uncultured bacterium
Lineage: Bacteria
Description: partial 16S ribosomal RNA
Rfam family: Bacterial small subunit ribosomal RNA
Source: RNAcentral